UUAUAAUAAAUUUAGGACAUAAUUUUAUACUUAAUAUAUUGAUUUGAUCAAUGAAAGAAUAUUUAUUUUUCAUUCAAGUGUGAUGUAUCUUUGAAUCAUCCAUGGAAUUAGUCUCGAUAUAUAUUCUCAAGGUAUUAAGAAUUAGAGAUAUGUAUUUAAUUUCUAAAUACUCCCGAUCAUAGGAUCAUCAUGAGGAUGGUGAUCGAUCUGGAUAAACUGACGCAC
RNAcentral lists this long non-coding RNA (225 nucleotides) under Elaeis guineensis (African oil palm). RNAcentral's name for it is "long non-coding RNA (EGUI_LNC060580)". The record is from RNAcentral. Lineage: Eukaryota; Viridiplantae; Streptophyta; Magnoliopsida; Arecales; Arecaceae.